This is a microRNA precursor of Lynx canadensis (Canada lynx), 87 nucleotides long. Ensembl annotates it as microRNA 124-3. Lineage: Eukaryota; Metazoa; Chordata; Mammalia; Carnivora; Felidae. The record is from Ensembl.
UGAGGGCCCCUCUGCGUGUUCACAGCGGACCUUGAUUUAAUGUCUAUACAAUUAAGGCACGCGGUGAAUGCCAAGAGAGGCGCCUCC